RNAcentral lists this transfer RNA (66 nucleotides) under Sindiplozoon sp. DZ-2018. RNAcentral describes it as "tRNA-Tyr". Lineage: Eukaryota; Metazoa; Platyhelminthes; Monogenea; Mazocraeidea; Diplozoidae. The record is from RNAcentral.
ACUGAGUUAGCAUAUUAUUAAUGCGGGGGAUUGUAAAUCCUUUAAAAGAUAGUUAUCUAUUCGGGG